UUGGUUUCAUGAACGGGGCCACAUAUUUCGGGAAGCACUCGGGCAUUGUCACCAGCUAUGGCAAGUGUCGCUGGUGUAGUAGCCUCUCCAGCAUGGGCGGUGCUGGGGCUUUACAGAGGAGGCUCCGGAAGCCUGUUCUGGCACCACUGGGUUCUUGACCUAUAAUCUAUGCUGAGUACUGAAGAUUUUCCUAUCUAUUUUCCUUCCUUCUGUAUGUUCGUAAUGCCCCAACAGGCUGUCAUUGCAGUAGACAGGGCUUUCCGGGACUUAGAGCUCCGCUUCACACAUCUGGUAUACUGCCCUGUUGGCUUGAACCUCUGAAGAGAGGCAGGGUAGGAGCGGUGACUGCUGUAAAGACACAGACCUGCACGGCCGGGCGAUACAGACUGAGCAAAGAAAAGAGUACCCGUUGAAGGGGUGUCCACUCUUUUGGCUUCCCUGGGCCACACUGGAAGAAGAAGGAUUGUCUUGGGCCACACAUGAAAUACACUAACACUAAUGAUAGCUGAUGAGCUUAAAAAAAAACCACAAAAUGUUCUAAGAAAGUUUAUGAAUUUGUGUUGGGCUGCAUUCAAAGCCAUCCUGGGCCGCCUGUAGCCCAUGAGCUGUGGGUUGAACAAGUUUGCAUUAGAAAGUGAAGUGGGGGCAAGCCCAGUGUCAUGGCUUGACACUGGAAGCCAGUAGAAGGUCCCCAGGAAGAGUUGUGGGGAAUGUCCUUAGAUUGGCAUCACACACCCACGUGGGAUGGAAGGUGUCUUCCUUUUGUCUCACUCGCAGUGGCCCUGGCCAUCUCCUGCCAGCGGUGCUGAAACAGGGCCUGCUGCAGAGACUGCAUGGCUGGUGACUGGCCCCGGUGUCUUGCAGACUAUGAUGCAGUGCUCACGGAGGCUGGAGAUUACACAGAAAAAUAUCUGAAGCUUCAAAAACUCUUUCAAUCUGUCUCAGGUACUCAGCACCCAUUUAACUUACGGGCCAGCCCUCCUCAUGUGGAGUCUCUGUUCUGUGGAAAAGUGAGGAAGGCGUGGGUCUCCCUUGUGGGCAGCAGUUACACCAAGCUCCUGAGAACAAGGGCAACCUUAACUUCGAACCCUGGGCUUAAAAUCUGUGUGAUUUUUUAAAAUCAGGGUUUCUAAGCAUUUUAUAAGCCUCAGUUUCUUCACUGAAGCAUAAAGGUAGUAACCUUGGUCUCCUGUGAUGACUGUGAAGAUUGAGUUACUCUUUGUAAAGCUCUUAUACCAUGGAUGACAUAGUAACUCCCAAUAUGAAAGCAGAAGCCAUGCUGGAUAGGCAUGGGGGGCUUAGAGAAGGCAGUGGUCAUCUCAGGCACUUUUUGCCCUGUGCCCCAUCUCCAUUGCAGCAACUCCCCUGCCCCGAGUACCCAAACUUCCUCCCAAGGCUGUGUAUCCCCCCGUGAGACCGUCGCUGUACCUCCCGCUGUGGGACGCCCUAUCCUACUUAAAUGAGCCAGUCAGGUCGCGUCAGCCCGUCAACAUGGAGAACCUUCCCAUAAACAAUGGGAGCGGCCAGUCCUACGGGCUUGUCCUGUAUGAGAAGUCCAUCUGCUCCGGAGGCCGCCUCCGUGCCCACGCUCAUGACAUGGCACAGGUGUUUUUGGAUGAGACAAUGAUAGGGAUUCUGAAUGAGAACAAUAAGGACCUGCACAUUCCUGAACUCAGGGACUGCCGAUACCUGAGGAUCCUGGUGGAGAAUCAAGGACGAGUCAAUUUUUCAUGGCAAAUACAGAAUGAGCAGAAAGGAAUAACUGGAUCUGUCAGCAUCAAUAACUCUUCCCUGGAGGGCUUUACCAUCUAUUCCCUGGAGAUGAAAAUGAGCUUCUUUGAGAGGCUGCGCUCUGCCACCUGGAAGCCUGUCCCAGACAGCCACCAGGGCCCGGCCUUCUACCGUGGGACCUUGAAGGCUGGCCCUUCUCCCAAGGACACCUUCCUGAGCCUGCUGGUAGGU
Molecule: small RNA, 1962 nt
Filed under: Pan troglodytes (chimpanzee)
Lineage: Eukaryota; Metazoa; Chordata; Mammalia; Primates; Hominidae
Description: retained intron
Source: RNAcentral